This 64-nucleotide transfer RNA is filed under the name Ausejanus albisignatus. RNAcentral's name for it is "tRNA-Arg". Lineage: Eukaryota; Metazoa; Arthropoda; Insecta; Hemiptera; Miridae. The record is from RNAcentral.
AAGUAGUGAAGUAAAAAUAUUACAUUUAGUUUCGACCUAAAAAUAGAGUCUAACUCCUUACUUU